Molecule: long non-coding RNA, 329 nt
Filed under: Olea europaea (common olive)
Lineage: Eukaryota; Viridiplantae; Streptophyta; Magnoliopsida; Lamiales; Oleaceae
Description: long non-coding RNA (OEUR_LNC009608)
Source: RNAcentral
UAGUCUUUUGAAGUUUAAUGCAUAAUUUGCCAGUAACUCACUUAAGCUCUCAUCUUCUUUGAAUUUUUCAGGUGGAUUUUUCCUGUAUAGGGCAUAAUGGAGCAGAAGCCUCGGAUGCUGUGCCAAUACUGAAAUUGGGUACCCAAGGCCUGGAGGUUUCAAUCUUACUUAUAAAAAUAUAUUUCUUCGUUGAUCCAAAUUGAAAAUAUUAGUUAUAGUGAAAUUUAAGGGGAAAAGAGAUUAACUUAUCUCAAAAUAUUGGGAAACAAAAAAUGUUAUUUUUGCUUAUUUUGAAGCUCAUCCUAAUAUGGAUAUGCAUCUGAUCAAAG